GUCUAUGUCCAUGCCACCCUGAACGUGCUCCAUCUUGUCUAAUCUUGGAAGCUAAGCAGGGUUGGGCCUGGUUAGUUCUUGGAUGGGAGACCAUCUAGGAAUACCAGGUGCUAUAGGCU
This 119-nucleotide ribosomal RNA is filed under the name Pteropus alecto (black flying fox). Lineage: Eukaryota; Metazoa; Chordata; Mammalia; Chiroptera; Pteropodidae. The record is from RNAcentral.